Molecule: ribosomal RNA, 469 nt
Filed under: uncultured bacterium
Lineage: Bacteria
Description: partial 16S ribosomal RNA
Rfam family: Bacterial small subunit ribosomal RNA
Source: RNAcentral
GACGAACGCUGGCGGCGUGCUUAACACAUGCAAGUCGAACGGAAAGGCCCUGCUUGCAGGGUGCUCGAGUGGCGAACGGGUGAGUAACACGUGGGUGAUCUGCCCCUUACUUUGGGAUAAGCCUGGGAAACUGGGUCUAAUACUGGAUAGGACCAUGCUGUAGGUGGUGUGGUGGAAAGAUUAGUUUCGGUAAGGGAUGAGCUCGCGGCCUAUCAGCUUGUUGGUGGGGUAAUGGCCUACCAAGGCGUCGACGGGUAGCCGGCCUGAGAGGGUGGACGGCAACAUUGGGACUGAGAUACGGCCCAGACGCCUACGGGAGGCAGCAGUGGGGAAUAUUGCACAAUGGGCGCAAGCCUGAUGCAGCGACGCCGCGUGGGGGAUGACGGCCUUCGGGUUGUAAACUCCUUUCAGCCAUGACGAAGCCCUUGUGGUGACGGUAGUGGUAGAAGAAGCACCGGCUAACUACGUG